RNAcentral lists this ribosomal RNA (1089 nucleotides) under Triticum aestivum (bread wheat). Its description in RNAcentral is "partial small subunit ribosomal RNA". The record is from RNAcentral. Lineage: Eukaryota; Viridiplantae; Streptophyta; Magnoliopsida; Poales; Poaceae.
AUGUUUGAUGAGAAUGACAUGUUUGAGAAUAUAUUUUCUACAAUUAAUGUUUAUCCCAAGCUUGGGGAUGCUAUGUUUAAUGAAGAUGAUAUUUCUAGCCUCCCAAGUUUUGAUAUUAAUGAUUCCACUAUCUUGGAAGAGUGGCAUGUUGGUGUGACAACCCCAAAAAUGGUACCACUUGAGUGCGCGAGGCGUGUUGGAGCAAUGGAUGUCGGGGAGGCAGCCCUAAGAAUGGGAGGUGAAUCGUACAUGGCUGUUCCCCACCGCCACAACACAAUCUCCCACGUUACCCAUUCUCUCCAAAGCCGGCGCUCCCUGGUCAGGCAGCCCCCUCCCCUUCGUCACAACAGUCGGCGCUCCCUGGUCAGGCCGCCCUCCCCUUCGUCAUCAGCAUCAGCGCUCACUGGCAGGCCGCCCCUCCCCUUCGAAUCAGGUCGCAGAAGUGGCCGAGGAGGCCCUCCAGAUUGGCAUGCUCGUGCCAGCGCUAGGCAUUGUCGGAUGCGGACACGGAGGCGCAGACUCGCACGCCCUACUCUACCCCGCUCCUUCGAAUCUGGCCCCGAAGUGCUCGAGGAGGCGCUCGAGCUCGUCAUGCUCGCCGAUGACGUCGGGCCCCUCCAUCCUCCUGAUGCCCUCGCUGUCGCUGCCAUGAGCCUCUCCACCCUCUUCCACGCAAUCGUCCGGGUCCAGUCCUUGAUGGUUCAGAUUUCCCAAAGGAGAAGAAGGAGGUGCCGAAAGAGGAUGGGAGCGACAAUGGAAUCAGUUUUCUUCACCCCAUGGGAGAAGUUAGAAGUGGUAUUCUCGGGAGUUCCCACCAACUGGUUUGAUGUAUGUUGGAAUAGGUUGUCGAUUGUACUGAAUUGGGGGUUCUCAUCCAGUGACAUUUGUGUGAGUGUCAGUCCUCUUGAAUUCCAUUGCAUCUGCUCAUCGUCGCGGCCAUCGUCGGGUGCCUCGGCGGCUGCGCAGGACUGCGAAGGCGCACUUUUGGGUAAAGAUUCGAUGGACUAUGGAAUAAGGAGUGGAAAGAGCCUAAUCUUGGGGAUGCCCAAGGCACCCCAAGGUAAUAUUCAAGGACAACCAAAAGCCUAA